Molecule: long non-coding RNA, 970 nt
Filed under: Calidris pugnax (ruff)
Lineage: Eukaryota; Metazoa; Chordata; Aves; Charadriiformes; Scolopacidae
Description: lncRNA (ENSCPUG00000014038.1)
Source: RNAcentral
UCUGUUUGGCAGCUUGAGAGCCUCUGAUGGAAGGUGGGAAAACAAUUUUUCUCAUCCUUUUUGCACCAAAAUAAUUCCCAGGACAAUAUUCAACUAAAGCCAGGAUCUCACUAGAGCCCUUUUCACUUAGCAGUAUAAAAAGAGGGCAGGUUGGCUGUAAUCCCCUGCCUCGUGCCCUGCAGGGAAAGGGCUGAAGGCAGAGCCUUGGGUUGGACGGUGCCGAGGAAGGGAAGGAGCGUGGGGGUUCUCUUCUUCCUCUGCUGUGUACAAUAAACUAAUGUCCUUCUUUCUUUUUUUCUACUCUAUAGAACUGUGUUUGGGGAAAUCAAGAACUGAACAGAUCCUUUUUUAUUUCCACUCAUUUUCAGGGCCUGAAGGAUGAUCUUGUGGUUUAAGCAUUUGGACUGGAACCAAGAGAUGCGAGAUAAAUUCCAGGCUCUGUUGUGCACUUCCUCUGCCGGCUUCUGAACGUCGCUCCUUCUCUUCCCAUCCCUGCCUGUAAAACGUCACUCCCUGCUCUCACCAUUUCAGUAGCCAACUCCCAAUACUGAAAGCUCCCGAUCCAUGACACAGGUAAUUUUUUUAAAAGUCUUAAUUUUAGGGUCAAAAUAGCGCUCUAGCCCCACGCCAGGGGGAAAACAUUUAAAAUUUAAAAGUAAGGAGACAAAAGCUCUGACAAGUUUGAAGGACACGAGGAUUGAUGUUAUUUACUAAGGUGGAUGACAGUGAAAAAGAGCCUGGUUCAGAGUAGUUGAGGGGCAGCAACACUGGGAAAUGAAGGUAGGGUACAUUUUUCCUGUGGGUUCAGUGAGAUGCCCAAGGAAUGAAUGUCCAUGAGCAACACUAAGAGGCUGGCCAAGAAGAAUCAAUUCUGCAUGCCUAUACAGCUGUGUUUUAAUGAGUUUCAAAUGUAGCAGUUCCGAUUAUUGGAAUCCACUUACUCAGAGAAGGACUUGGCAAAUGACAGUCA